Long non-coding RNA from Lactuca sativa (garden lettuce), 1024 nucleotides. RefSeq lists it as uncharacterized. The record is from RefSeq and is a predicted model, not a curated record. Lineage: Eukaryota; Viridiplantae; Streptophyta; Magnoliopsida; Asterales; Asteraceae.
UAUUACAAACCAUCGGGACUAUUUUGGUUUGGUGUAUUUUAGCUACUAUAGGGCUAUUUUGGGAAAUAAUUUAACAAAUGGGGGUUGUUUAGUAAACUCCUUAACCACAAGAGAUCAGAUUUAAUAAAUCUUUUCAAAUGGGGUUUAUUUUGCUACCACUCAACAUUUAUAGGGGCUGAUAUGGCUAUUUAUUAUAAACCAAGGAUUUUAGGGCUUUUGUGUCCUCAUCUUGCCUGAUCGAUCAAAAGAAAGAAUCAGACGCGAGGAAGAAGCGCAAACGACACACGCACGCCUUCUGCGGCUCAUCCAUCGAGCGAAGGGAAAAGAAAUCGAAGGCGGCAGCAGGUGGCUCAGUGGAGGAGGCCAAUCGCAAAGAGGAGGACUGAGAACAGGGGCUUCGGUCCUCAUCUUCGACUUCAUCAGAUUGGAGAUGUGACUGGCGAACGAAGGCAGUCAAGGUGGCUAAGAGAUAGCGAGGAGGGGAGCACCUCCGGUGGUCGGUUGGUCCGAAGAAAAAAAGGGGAACAGGCAGCGAAGCUGCUCUCUUUUUGCUCCGGCAGUGAGAUACGAAGGGGAAAAACGGGCGGCGAUAGCAGCUCCGGUGGGGGGUGUUCGACUUCUUCGUUUGACAGUAAGCAAGGAGCACAACGUGAAGGUCUUGAUGUCUUCUUGAUUGCAGGGAAAUCUCCACUUCUGGUGGAGGUUUGGGUUGAUUCAAUUGACAGCUUCAAUUGACAGGGAGAAGAGAAAGGGUCUUCUGUUCUUCUUGGCAGGCUAGAAGGAGUAAGAAGAGGUAGUAGAGUCUUUUUUUUUUUGGGUUUAAUUGAUUGUUAAAUGAGGGCAAGUUAUGUAAAAGUGGCCAACACUCUUCCAAAUUUUCAAUUGUAUAUGUCCUUUUAACUAGAUGUUUUAACUAGAAAUGUAAGCAAUCGUCUAGUCUAGACAUUUAAGCAUGUGUCUACUUACAAACAUGUGUGUACUUUUAGACAAAUUUAGAAGCAAUGUAUUGUUUCAAUUAUUAACA